RNAcentral lists this microRNA precursor (280 nucleotides) under Triticum aestivum (bread wheat). RNAcentral describes it as "miR1129 stem-loop (tae-MIR1129)". The record is from miRBase by way of RNAcentral. Lineage: Eukaryota; Viridiplantae; Streptophyta; Magnoliopsida; Poales; Poaceae.
CGGCCGCCAUUCAGCCAGAAGAAGCAGCGAGCCAGCGGAGACCGGCAGCCAACCAAGGGCGUCGUCGCUCCACCAUGGAAUCAGCUGCUGAUAUGCUCGAACACGACCUGCAAGCUUCAUGUAUCUGCAACACCCCUGCUCCUCAUCCACGACCCAAGUGACCUGAAAGAGCAAGCUGCUGCAGAGGGCAAUCCUCGAUAUCUAAGAAGACCUCGGGCUUAUUAGGGGAAGAGAGCUCGUGCCAGAUCCACUCCCAACUGCCUCCGUCCACCAUGGACGA